AUGGCCGGCCUCCACCCCUGCGUCGACGAUGAGGAGCCCGAGUACCCACGCCUCCCCGCCCUCAAGUGGCUCCUGUUCCUCGCUACCUGGAUCCGCAUUGCCCCAUCCACUCUCUCGCCCAAACCACACACCACACCGAUCCCGCACCCGCACAGCCCAUCGGCGACCUCGCCGGAGAUGAGAGAAGAAGGUGAGAGAUGGAAGCGGCGGCGGCUGCGGCCGGCGUGCAGCUGGGCUCCUCUGCCGACCCGCGCCAAGUUCCUCGAGGAGUUCGCGCGGCGGUUCGACCUCCUCAGGCUGGUCCGAUUCAGGACGGAGGUAGUGAGCGUCCGUCGUAGCAGGGCCGACGACACGGGCUGGAGGGUGAGGCUCGCCUGCGCUGGCAGCAAGCUGGAGGAGGAGGUUUGA
Molecule: ribosomal RNA, 408 nt
Filed under: Triticum aestivum (bread wheat)
Lineage: Eukaryota; Viridiplantae; Streptophyta; Magnoliopsida; Poales; Poaceae
Description: partial small subunit ribosomal RNA
Source: RNAcentral